AUGUUUAGGUUCUUUUGUUUGAAUUCAGCAUUCAGAUUUGCAUGAUCUGAUCCACUUCCACACAUACUACCUUUUGCAUAAAAAGUUGUUCUUGUAAUUUUUUUUUCCAAACGGUGGCUAUUUUAUUAUUAGAUCAUAAAAUAGAAUAUGAAGCUGGAAGUUCUAAAAGAAAAAACGAACAUUAGACAAUAAUAUCCCGGACAUUAAAAUCCCUCCAUCUCUCCCAAACUAAAUAACUAAAAGGCGCUCUGUGUUUAGGCCACAUAAACGAGUCCUUUAUGCCAUCUACGGCUUUCAAAAUUGAAAACGAGAUGCUAUUAAAAAUGCAAUCGUUUCGGGUCUUCCAGAUCUUCCAAAUGGAGGCAUAAAGAAUAGUUUUUCUUUUUUUUUUUUUCAAUUUUGUUGAACCAUUAGCCUCGUUCACCUUUUCCACCAUGUCCCAGAACGGCGUUGCAUUGGUCACUACCGGGAGUUGUUCUUGUACUGUUAUGCAAGUUAAUUUGUUUUCAUGGUCUGAUCUUUAUGGUUAUAUUCAAUAAUAAAAAUAAAUUAUUUUAAUAUUAAGGUAUCUUGCUAUUUUCUUAAUAUGAAGGUUGGGGAAACACAUACACACGCAAAAGCAAUAAAAAGCAACAUGAUAAUUUAUAUAGUUUGGAUUCGGUAUGAAUCCUACCUUCAUGAGCUACAAUCAGAUAUUCUUUAUUAUGCUCAGCACAAAACAUAGGUUUAUAACUUAG
RNAcentral lists this long non-coding RNA (737 nucleotides) under Helianthus annuus (common sunflower). RNAcentral describes it as "hypothetical non coding rna". The record is from RNAcentral. Lineage: Eukaryota; Viridiplantae; Streptophyta; Magnoliopsida; Asterales; Asteraceae.